GCCAGGUACAGUGGUGCACGCCUGUAAUCCCAGUGGCUCUGGAGGCUGAGACAGGAGGAUUGCGAGUUCAAAGACAGCUUCAGCCACAGCGAGGCACUAAGCAACUCAGUGAGACCCUGUCUCUA
This 125-nucleotide small RNA is filed under the name Marmota monax (woodchuck). Lineage: Eukaryota; Metazoa; Chordata; Mammalia; Rodentia; Sciuridae. The record is from RNAcentral.